CCUACGGGUGGCAGCAGUAGGGAAUAUUGCUCAAUGGGGGGAACCCUGAAGCAGCAACGCCGCGUGGAGGAUGAAGGUUUUAGGAGUGGAAACUCCUGUUGGGAGAGAAGAGAAUGACGGUAGCUCACGAAUAAGCACCGGCUAACUCCGGGCCAGCAGCCGCGGUAAUACGGAGGGUGCAAGCGUUACUCGGAACCACUGGGCGUAAAGGGUGCGCAGGCGGGCUUGUAAGUCAGAUGUGAAAUCCUGUAGCUUAACUACAGAACUGCAUUUGAAACUAUGAGUCUAGAGUGUGGGAGAGGUAGGUGGAAUUCUUGGUGUAGGGGUCAAAUCCGUAGAUAUCACGAGGAAUACUCAUUGCGAAGGCGACCUACUGGAACAUUACUGACGCUCAUGCACGAAAGCGUGGGGAGCAAACAGGAUUAGAUACCCUUGUAGUC
Molecule: ribosomal RNA, 440 nt
Filed under: uncultured bacterium
Lineage: Bacteria
Description: partial 16S ribosomal RNA
Rfam family: Bacterial small subunit ribosomal RNA
Source: RNAcentral